AAACAUAAAGGUUUGGUCCUGGCCUUCUUAUUAGUUGUUAAUAAACUUGUACAUGCAAGUAUCCACCCACCAGUGAGAAUGCCCUUCAGAUCAUUAUCAGUCAGAAGGAGCUGGCAUCAAGUACACACCAAUGUAGCUCAUAACGCCUUGCUCCGCCGCACCCCACGGGAUACAGCAGUAAUGAAAAUUUAGCUAUUAAUGGAAGUUAGACGAAGUGAUACUAACAAAGGAUUGGUCAAUUUCGUGCCAGCCACCGUGGUCAUACGAUUAACCCAAAUUAAUAAGCACUGGCGUAAAGCGUGUUUAAGAGUAAGAUAAAAUUAAGUUUUACCUAAACUGUAAAAAGCUAAAGAUAAAAUAAAAAUAAUCUGCAAAAGUGACUUUAACAACUCUGAACACACGAUAGCUAAGAAACAAACUGGGAUUAGAUACCACACUAUGCCUAGCGCUAAACCUUGAUAACUACUAACGAAGUUAUUCGCCAGAGAACUACUAGCUAAAGCUUGAAACUCAAAGGACUUUGCCAUGCUUUAUAUCCACCUAGAGGAGUCUGUCCCGUAAUCGAUAACCCCGAUAAACCUUACCACCACUUGCUAAUUCAGGCUCUAUACUGCCAUCUUCAGCAAACCCUUAAAAGGCACCGAAGUAAGCUUAAUAAUUACCAUAAAAAAGUUAGGUCAAGGUGUAGCCUACGUAGUGGUCCAAAAUGGGCUACAUUUUCUAUUUCAGGAUAUACUAAUGAACAUCAUCAUGAAAAAAUGGCUGAAGGAGGAUUUAGUAGUAAUUAAGAAUAGAUAGCUUAAUCGAAUUAGGCCAUGAAGCACGCACACACUGCCCAUCACCCUCCUCAAAUAUCUUUAACUACAUAAUCAUAUUUAAACUUAAACAAAUAUGAGAGGAGACAAGUCAUAACAAGGUAAGCAUACUGGAAAAUGUGCUCGGAUAACUCAAAAA
Molecule: non-coding RNA, 954 nt
Filed under: Loxodonta africana (African savanna elephant)
Lineage: Eukaryota; Metazoa; Chordata; Mammalia; Proboscidea; Elephantidae
Description: Bacterial small subunit ribosomal RNA
Rfam family: Microsporidia small subunit ribosomal RNA
Source: Rfam by way of RNAcentral